Molecule: long non-coding RNA, 1556 nt
Filed under: Portunus trituberculatus (swimming crab)
Lineage: Eukaryota; Metazoa; Arthropoda; Malacostraca; Decapoda; Portunidae
Description: uncharacterized LOC123500165
Source: RNAcentral
GAGAGAGAGAGAGAGAGAGAGAGAGAGAGAGAGAGAGAGAGAGAGAGAGAGAGACAGAGAGAGAGAGAGAGAGAGAGAAGGAAUCGAAAGACGAGACCAAUUUCGAAAAGUAAACUGUGGUGUCUUUGCUUCUGUUUUCUUUCGCUCCUGGCUGGGGAUGCUGACGGUGCUGAGGCUGUGGGUGGGUUGGUGCCGUGGGCGGUGGUGGGGCUCAGCUGAGGGGAGGACUGCAGCCUUAGCUUUGUCAGGAGCGUGACAACCUCGCGGGCGGGGACAAACACGCCUUAGGGAGCAAUUUCCACCUCAAUCUCCCAACCCUUAAUUACGUUUACGGAGUCUGAGCCUGUGUGACCUUCAUUGAGACUCCCGAGGCUCUUGAAAUGUCCCGAAAACCGCAGCGAAGUGAGACAUGCUGCAACGUGGGGAAGUACAGAGGAACGAAGAAACAAUAGAAACACAAAGAAGACAACAUAAAUCAAGACGAAACAUGUAAGAAAACCGGAAUAAUGGAAGAGAUAAGGAUAAAAACUUGUAUGUGAAUAAAAUGGCCUCUUGGAUGUCAACAUUUUCAUUGCGUUGGCCUAUUCGAGUGACAGAGCAGUGCGUCUUUCUGUGGUGGCGGGAAGGUGCUAAGACAAGAGGCGCGCGCUGCCACUACUACCACCGCCCACCACCACCACCGCUGCUCCCCACCCACGCACUGCAGCAGAGGGCGGCGGCGGCGGGUGGUGGCGGUGUUGGUGGAGGCGGAGUGGGUUCGGGCUAGGUAGAUAAUGAGGCAAGGUGAUCGUGAAGGAGUGAGGCAAGACAAGGCAAGACUCCCGCGAGGAUGUUAAUGAAGGAGCAAAUGAAGGCCGCGAAAUUAAUGUGCACAGCGAGACGCCUAAAGUGAAUAUUAACAAAGGCGAGACGCGAAUGUAUGAGUAAUGAAGAACAAAGAAGGACAUCCUGGAGGGCCUCGCUGAAGAAUUUGGCGAGUGUAGCAGGAUUAGGGAGCCAAGAAGGACUUAUGAUAGGAUACUAGCAAAGAAAAACACUAGAAAAGGAAAACAUGCAGUGUAGGAAUAAAUUAAUUGCAAGAAGGACAUCCUGGAGGGCCGCGCUGAAGAACUUGGCGGGUGUAGCAGGAUUAGGGAGCCAAGAAGGACUUACAAUAGGAUACUAGCAACGGAAAUAGAAAAAAAAAAGUGUAAAAAUAAAUUAAUUGCAAGAAGGACUUCCUGGAGGGCCUCGCUGAAGGACUUAAUGAUUGUAGCAGGAUUACGGCACCAAGAAGGACUUAUGAUUGGAUACUAGCAACGAAAAAGACAGUGAAGGAAUAAGAUAACUGACUAAAAAAUACAUCCUACAGGAGUAUUUUGAAGGAUUUACUCGAAUAUACUAACAAAGAAAAUGAUAGGAAUAAAACAAUAGACAAAGAAAGACAUCCAGAAUAGCCUCCGGUGAAAGAGUUGAAGUGGGAAGAAAAUAAUUUUAAGCCACUUUGAGUAAAAUUCCAAGUACCAUAAAAAAGAAACGAACGUGUGGAAGAAGAAAAAAGAAAGAGACACGCCAAA